RNAcentral lists this ribosomal RNA (767 nucleotides) under uncultured fungus. RNAcentral's name for it is "eukaryotic LSU rRNA". The stretch from base 133 to 767 matches the Rfam family "Eukaryotic large subunit ribosomal RNA", at positions 1 to 649 of the family's 3401-position model. The record is from RNAcentral. Lineage: Eukaryota; Fungi.
AGACNUCCGGGNCCGNUUUUAAAGUCGUGAGCUCCGCCGGCCGCCGCGCCUGACCCGGACAUAGUAAACGCUGCUUGUCGAAGGUUGGACGGGGGCGGUUCGGCCUGAACAAAACCUACCCAUUCUAAGGUUUGACCUCAGAUCAGACAAGGAUACCCGCUGAACUUAAGCAUAUCAAUAAGCGGAAGAAAAGAAACCAACAGGGAUUGCCUCAGUAACGGCGAGUGAAGCGGCAACAGCUCAAAUUUGAAAUCUGGAGCCUUUGGCUUCCGAGUUGUAAUUUGAAGAGGAUGUUUCGGUCGCGGCCUGGGCCCAAGUUCCUUGGAACAGGACGUCACGGAGGGUGAGAAUCCCGUACGUGGCCUCAGGCUUGCUUCCGUGUGAAACUCCUUCGAAGAGUCGAGUUGUUUGGGAAUGCAGCUCAAAAUGGGUGGUAAAUUUCAUCUAAAGCUAAAUAUUGGCGGGAGACCGAUAGCGCACAAGUAGAGUGAUCGAAAGAUGAAAAGCACUUUGAAAAGAGAGUUAAACAGUACGUGAAAUUGUUGAAAGGGAAGCGCUUGCGAUCAGACUCGCCGGCGGUUGAUCAACGUUCCUUCUGGUGCGUGCACUCUGCCGUCGGCGGGCCAGCAUCGGUUGGGGCGGCGGGACAAAGACGGCGGGAAUGUGGCUCCCCUCGGGGAGUGUUAUAGCCUGUCGUGCAAUGCCGCCAGUCCCGACCGAGGUCCGCGGUUCCGCCUAGGAUGCUGGCUUAAUGGUCGCAAGCGACC